AUGUUGCCGCCUUAGGUCAUCGCAUACAAACACACCAAGAAAUUGAUCCAUACAUAGAUAGUAAAUUUUCUUAUUUUUUAUCUUUAGAUAAGUUAGGAUGCAGUCUUGAGAUAAGACUAUCCUAACUUUUAUUGUAUCUUUCUGAUUUAAAAAAAAAAGUAUAAGCACUCAUCGACCUACAACAAAAUCGCAAAAGCCCAUUGAAAAGCCCCCGUGGCGGCACAAAUCCAUUCCAUAAAAUCCAUAAUCCUUGGUAAAACCCUAGCACACUAUUCCGCUCAACUCAAACCCUCAUCUUCUCCGCCGCCGUCUUUCCUCCAUUUUUCUCCGCAAAUAGCAAGGAGCAGAGUUCGUGUUUUUGUUGGGAUACUGUGAUUUUGGACUAAAAGAUGAAUGCAAUUAAAUAAUUGGAUGAUAAUUUCUUUAAAAAUGAUUUGUUAAGUGUAAUCGAUAUGAAUACAAUUUUCUGAAAUUGGGUUCAAUUUGAUGGUUUGUAAUCGUAGAUUUCGAUAUUGAAAUUCAUAAACAUGUGUUCUUUGA
Spinacia oleracea (spinach) is the source of this 540-nucleotide long non-coding RNA. RefSeq lists it as uncharacterized. NCBI's taxonomy places the organism in Eukaryota, Viridiplantae, Streptophyta, Magnoliopsida, Caryophyllales, Amaranthaceae. The transcript is spliced from 2 exons. The record is from RefSeq and is a predicted model, not a curated record.